AGCGAACGCUGGCGGCGUGCCUAACACAUGCAAGUCGAACGUGAAAAGGGAAACCUGAGUACAGUGGCGUACGGGUGAGUAACGCGUAGGUCAUCUACCCCAGAAUCUGGAAUAACCUGCCUAAAGGCGGGCUAAUACUGGAUAGACCGAGGGAACUCGUAAGAGAGUUUUUCGGGAAAUGGAGCCCGCAAGGGCCUUCGUUCUGGGAUGAGCCUGCGUCUCAUUAGCUAGUUGGUAAGGUAACGGCUUACCAAGGCGAUGAUGAGUAGCUGGUCUGAGAGGAUGAACAGCCACACUUGAACUGAAACCCGGGCCAGACUCCUACGGGAGGCAGCAGUGGGGAAUCUUGCGCAAUGGACGAAAGGCUGAAGCAGCCACGCCGCGUGGGUGAAGAAGGCCCUCGGGUUGUAAAGCUCUGUCUGAUGGGACGAAAAUAUUCAUAGUGAAUAGCUAUGAGGACUGACGGUACCAUAAAAGGAAGCACCGGCUAACUCCGUG
Molecule: ribosomal RNA, 498 nt
Filed under: uncultured bacterium
Lineage: Bacteria
Description: partial 16S ribosomal RNA
Rfam family: Bacterial small subunit ribosomal RNA
Source: RNAcentral